UCCAAGAAACUUAACUCUUAGCAAAUCAAUAGCAAAAAUCUACACAUAAUUAGUACAAAAGGUAAAUAUUUCACAUAUUUAUGCCUUAAUAACAAAUAGAAGUCUAAAAGUAAGUAUCUAUGUUCUUUUUUUUUUGAACGACCAACACAAACUCUUUCAUUUCACAAUCCAACACUGGUAUAAUGACACCAUUUGAAAUACACCAAGAAAACAUUACGUACUAAUCAACUACCCCAUACAAUCAAGAUUAAAAGAUUUCCACCUAUCCCACGUUAACGAAUUACACUUUGAACGAUGUAGCUCAUCGACUUAAUUUCCCCGAUAACCUUAAAAACUGAUGGUCGUAUUUGUUUAAAAACUGUUUCAUUUCGUGCCCUCCAGAUACUCCAAAAACCUGUUAGUAUCACCGCAUUGAAUGCUUUCUUUCUAAACUUUGAUCCCCGGGCGACCUCAUGUAGAUUUAGCAAAUCAUUAACAGUAAACGCGAAUAUAGGAGGUACAUUACACCAUAAACUUACCUGACUCCAAAUUGUUUGAGAAAAGCUACAACAGUUGAACAGGUGUUCACAAUCCUCUUGGUAGUUUUCACAACAAACACAUACCGACAAAUCAAGGGUGAUGUUCCGCUUGGCAAGAGCUUCUGCGGUUGGAAGUCGAUUUAAACUUGCUCUCCAUCCAACUAUACGAACUUUCAUUGGUACCCAAUUAUUCCAGAAGAAUUGCAUAUUGUGUUGUGACCUGUUUAAAACUUUGAAGAUAAUAUUUGAGGUUUUUAACUGAAAAUGUUGAAUCUCCACCCAAAGCCCAAAACCAGGAAUCUGAUCUUUGGGAAAUAACAACAGAGCCAAGCAUAACUGACAGCUGGUUCAAGUCAUGCUGUUCCUCAACCGACAAGGGACCAUGUCGCCAUACUCAACAAAAGGACUGGAUGUGUUGAUAUAUGGUUAGUUUUUUCCCGAAAAAUAUCCUUUGUAGCUUGCAACACCCUUAGGACUGGAUCCAUUGAGGUAUGGUAGUUCUUUUUUUGAACAAGGUCUGUUGUAGCUUGCAAGACAGGGUCAUGUGUGGUACACUGGUACUAAUUAUUAAACCAUAUGUUUCGAUUAUGAUACUCUCUUAGGACUGGAUGCAUGAAUAUAUCGCAGAUUUGUUUCCAAAUAGGUCUGCAAGACCACUCAUGUGUGGUACUAAUUGUUGAACCAUUGAAAUGCAAAGAAUUAAAGAUGAAUUGUAUCUAUUA
This is a long non-coding RNA of Erigeron canadensis, 1240 nucleotides long. RefSeq lists it as uncharacterized. The transcript has 2 exons. NCBI's taxonomy places the organism in Eukaryota, Viridiplantae, Streptophyta, Magnoliopsida, Asterales, Asteraceae. The record is from RefSeq and is a predicted model, not a curated record.